UAGGGAAUCUUCCGCAAUGGACGAAAGUCUGACGGAGCAACGCCGCGUGAGUGAAGAAGGAUUUCGGUUCGUAAAACUCUGUUGUUAGGGAAGAAAAAAUGUAUAGUAACUAUAUACAAAAGAGACGGUACCUAACCAGAAAGCCACGGCUAACUACGUGCCAGCAGCCGCGGUAAUACGUAGGUGGCAAGCGUUGUCCGGAAUUAUUGGGCGUAAAGCGCGCGCAGGUGGUUUAGAAAGUCUGAUGUGAAAGCCCACGGCUCAACCGUUGAGGGUCAUUGGAAACUAAUCAACUUGAGUGCAGGAGAGAAAAGUGGAAUUCCUAGUGUAGCGGUGAAAUGCGUAGAGAUUAGGAGGAACACCGGUGGCGAAAGCGGCUUUUUGGCCUGCAACUGACACUGAGGCGCGAAAGCGUGGGGAGCAAACAGG
This 429-nucleotide ribosomal RNA is filed under the name Verrucomicrobiota bacterium. RNAcentral describes it as "Verrucomicrobia bacterium partial 16S ribosomal RNA". It matches the Rfam family "Bacterial small subunit ribosomal RNA", at positions 355 to 776 of the family's 1533-position model. Lineage: Bacteria; Pseudomonadati; Verrucomicrobiota. The record is from RNAcentral.